This 482-nucleotide ribosomal RNA is filed under the name uncultured bacterium. RNAcentral's name for it is "bacterial SSU rRNA". It matches the Rfam family "Bacterial small subunit ribosomal RNA", at positions 899 to 1397 of the family's 1533-position model. The record is from RNAcentral.
ACUCAAAGGAAUUGACGGGGGCCCGCACAAGCAGCGGAGCGUGUGGUUUAAUUCGAUGCAACGCGAAGAACCUUACCUGGGUUUGACAUGGAGCUGCACCACGGGUAAUGCCGUGUCCCUUCGGGGCGGUUCCACAGGUGCUGCAUGGCUGUCGUCAGCUCGUGCCGUGAGGUGUUGGGUUAAGUCCCCUAACGAGCGCAACCCCUGGGGUCCGUUGUAGGUUUCGGGCCCGACUGCCGCGCGCAACGCGGAGGAAGGUGGGGAUGACGUCAAGUCAGCACGGCCCUUACGUCCAGGGCGACACACACGCUACAAUGGCCGGUACAAUGGGUUGCCAAGCCGCGAGGCGGAGCCAAUCCCCUAAAGCCGGUCUCAGUUCGGAUGGUAGGCUGCAACUCGCCUGCCUGAAGCCGGAGUUGCUAGUAACCGUGGGUCAGCACACCACGGUGAAUACGUUCCCGGGCCUUGUACACACCGCCCGU